CAAUAGCGUAUGUUUAAGUUGCUGCAGUUAAAAAGCUCGUAGUUGGAUUUCGGGUGGGAGUGGCCGGUCCGCCGUUUCGGUGUGCACUUGCUACGCCCACCUUGCUGCCGGGGACGUGCUCUUGAGUUCACGCUCGGGACACGGAGUCGGCGAGGUUACUUUGAGUAAAUUAGAGUGUUCAAAGCAGGCCUACGCUCUGAAUACAUUAGCAUGGAAUAACACGAUAGGACUCUGGCCUAUCUUGUUGGUCUGUAGGACCGGAGUAAUGAUUAAGAGGGACAGUCGGGGGCAUUCGUAUUUCAUUGUCAGAGGUGAAAUUCUUGGAUUUAUGAAAGACGAACUACUGCGAAAGCAUUUGCCAAGGAUGUUUUCAUUAA
Molecule: ribosomal RNA, 377 nt
Filed under: uncultured eukaryote
Lineage: Eukaryota
Description: partial 18S ribosomal RNA
Rfam family: Eukaryotic small subunit ribosomal RNA
Source: RNAcentral